Long non-coding RNA from Asparagus officinalis (garden asparagus), 3000 nucleotides. RefSeq lists it as uncharacterized. The record is from RefSeq and is a predicted model, not a curated record. The transcript has 2 exons. Lineage: Eukaryota; Viridiplantae; Streptophyta; Magnoliopsida; Asparagales; Asparagaceae.
AAGUUUUUUUCUAGCAAUUGGAGUAGAUAUGGCUGCAUGAUUCUGCGCAUUCAUUUUUUUCAUGUUUGUUCUCAGACAUCGAAUCUCACGGAGGGGUCAGUAUGAAAACAAUAUUAUGCUAAUAUACUUCAAGGUAUCAGACGCUACCUAUAGGAAAUCAGGUGAAAUGUAUCUACAAGAAAUUAUUAUAGUAUUCUACUAAGUAUUUUUACUGUUUUGAUCAUGGAAUCGUAAUUCUCAAAUAAGAGAAGUUUUCAUCGAUUUAUGAGGUGAAAAGUAUCCUCAUGAAAUUGGUUUUGUAUCCCUAUUUGUAUCCUAGUCAGGAGAGUAAGCAUGCAUGUGCCUGCUCUGUGUAAUUGUGGCACCAAACAAGAGGAGUUAUUAUCAAAUCACAGCCUGAGCUGAUCUGAGAAAAGAAAUGAAUUUACAAAGAAUGCCUACUUACUAUCACAACAUAACUCCACUGCACGAUCAAUCCUCCCAACCCCGCUAGCAUCUUGAUCAACAUAUUAUACAUAUGUUUAUCAGGAAGACUUCAUAGUAGGUUAAGCGCUUUAUUUGUCCCAUGGAGUUUACAAUGUAGAGCGAGGAUCCAUCCUAUCGUAACUCUACACAUCUGCUUCUAAACCUCACUAGUAGGUUAAGCGCUUUAUUUGUCCCAUGGAGUUUACAAUGUAGAGCAAGGAUCCAUCCUAUCGUAACUCUACACAUCUGCUUCUAAGCCUCACUCAACUAGUUCGUCGUGCAACUCAUAUGCAUCAUUUGCUUUCUUUUCUUUCUCACAUAACAGUAUGAUGAUGACACAAUUAUUUGCAAACACAUUUAGGGUCAAUCCUCAAGUUAUGCAUGUAUAAAAAUUGCAUAAGCUUUCAGCAUCUGGGGCAAGUCUGUAAACCGUUUGUAUCCCCUUCUUUGCAUAAAUUAGCCAGCAAAUCAUCAAAAGCUGCCGUCAACUGCACAUUCUUGUUGGCACAUUUCAUUGAAUAGCUAAACAACAUGCUAUCCUUAUAGUCCUACGUCCCCUCAAAAAAAGGGAAAAAAAACCCCAAUCUUUCUUCGUCACCAUCCUCCCCAAAUCAUAGAUCCUACUUCUCCAAUGAGAACCUAGUCGAUAAAUUAUCCAAGGCCAUGAAGAAAUUAUCCCAAAAUUCCUCCCAUUCCCCACAACACACUGCCGCCAAAAAAAAGAAGAAGGGCUCUAAACAGAACACCUCAACCCAUUGGAAUCCAACACUUCUAUUGAAGAACUUCACUAGCACCAGAAAUUUCAUGGGAGUCCCAACAAUGACGUUACUCAAUUCAAGCCUUUUCUCGUUUGCUGCAACCCACGGCGAUCAAGAGCUUAGUGGCUGCGAAUUGCCCCAGAGAAGCCCUCACCACUUCGACGAGGUGACUGUUUUGAAUAUGAAUAAUGAUCUCACUUGCUUCACGAUGUUGGUGAUGUUUUACGUUUGGAGAUCCCUGUGUCAUUAAUUAAGGGUUUUUAGAUAUUAAUCCCUUAAAUCAUAGGUAUUAUGUUAUUAGUCCCUCAAAUGUUCAUAUUUUGAUGUUAAUCCCUCAAAUUGCAUUAGUAUAUUGGUAUAUAUGUAAAUCUCUUUGUUAGUUUUACCAUUUAAAACCCUCAAUCCUGGUUAGGUUAAGACUAACUAUAGGUGGUUGAUUACCAUAAUAGUCCCACCCAUUUAUCUCUUACUCCUAGCAUCAGAAACCACAAAUCCAUCCCUUUAUCUCUCUUUCCGUCCUUCCCCCUCCCCUUCUUCCUAGCAUCAGAAAUCACAAACCCAGUGCCAGUCACCAAAAUGCAAACCAAAAAAUUAUUACUCACAUUUCAUUUUUCUGUAUGUCAUGCUAUACACCUUGAACAUAUCCUCACUGAAAUACAUUAAAAAUCUAAAGGGCUUUAUAGCCACCAUCAUUAAGUCAAGUCCUCACAACAUUAACCAUAUUCUUUUUUUUAUUUCCUUGUUGAAACGCAUUGGAGACCUAACAUUUUUUUAACAGAUCACCCGCCAUGUACAUAUCAGCCGAUAAGCAUUGAAACCAUUAGUGUAGAAAGGGCGCCUAUUUAUCAUAAGGGUCCCACUUGUCGAGGCAAAGCAUGAACUUUUGAAAGGAUUGGUAAAAAUAAGCAGUGCUAAAAGAAGAAAGAUAUUGCAAAUUCCUUAGUUCUUCCUUGUGGAUGACUAUGCAUGAAUAAUGCGGGUUUGUUGUGCACUAGAGUUUAGAAUGUUGGAUUGUUAUCUGUAGUUGAGGAAGUAGGAUUUUCCAUUUUCAUUAAUGAAGAUUUCGGCAAACAGAGAAGUUAGGCAACGGAUGUGAUGGAUGCCGUUUGACAAAAAAGUGAGGUGAAUGGUUUUGGGUUUGGAGCUCUUAUCAAGUUUAAGUUUAAGGAUUUAUCGGUUUUGGUUUCAGGACGAGGGUAUAAUGGUUCAUUCAAGAAAAAAAUUUAAACAUAAUGGAAUGUUUCCCAACCAUUAUAAACCCAAACUAACUAGAGGGACAAAUAUCAUCAUAUUAAUGCAUUUUGGGGGACUAAUAUAAAAAUAUGACGAUUUGUGGGACUAAUAUCAAAAUACUGAUAGUUUAAGGGACUAAUAUCUAAAGAGCCCAAAAAAGUUUAUUCUUAAAAUUGCUCCAUGCUCAAUAUUUUCUGUGCAAUAAAUGUGGCCAUAAUAGAAUGAUAUUUUAAGACAAUGCCCCUUGAGUAUCAGAAUUCAUUCUCAUAUGUGAGAGCCAGUAAUCAGAAUUUAUUCUCUAACAUUUUAUAUACCCAGGAAUCAAUAAGUAGCAAAUUUGAUGUUCAUCCUUGAGAUCCAAUGCAUCACAAUAAAAUACAUAUCUCCAAAUGUAUAAAAUCUUAUUAUGGUUUUUGUUAGCAGAAUGCAUGCAUGUUUUGAUUGACUUUAGACGGCAUAAAUGUUUGAAUUAGCCUAUACAAAAUGUUAAGAGAAUGUAAUGAAAGUUUUACAAUUCCAGACAUGAUGCAGAAAGAACAUAUAU